CAAUAGCGUAUAUUAAAGUUGUUGCGGUUAAAAAGCUCGUAGUUGGAUCUCGGCAGGCAGGGGGUGGUUCGCUCUUAGCGCUACUGCCCCACUUGCCUGUGUGAUUGGCGGAGGUUUCGGGGUGCUCUUCGUUGAGUGACCCGGGGCGCCGUCAGGUUUACUUUGAAAAAAUUAGAGUGCUCAAAGCAGGCUUUUCACGCUUGAAUAUUCGUGCAUGGAAUAAUGGAAUAGGAACUCGUUUCUAUUUUGUUGGUUUUCGGAAAUCGAGUUAAUGAUUAAUAGGGACAAUUGGGGGCAUUAGUAUUCAGACGACAGAGGUGAAAUUCUUGGACCGUCUGAAGACUAACUACUGCGAAAGCAUUUGCCAAGAGUGUUUUCAUUAA
This 383-nucleotide ribosomal RNA is filed under the name uncultured eukaryote. RNAcentral describes it as "partial 18S ribosomal RNA". It matches the Rfam family "Eukaryotic small subunit ribosomal RNA", at positions 592 to 976 of the family's 1831-position model. The record is from RNAcentral.